RNAcentral lists this ribosomal RNA (383 nucleotides) under uncultured eukaryote. RNAcentral's name for it is "partial 18S ribosomal RNA". It matches the Rfam family "Eukaryotic small subunit ribosomal RNA", at positions 592 to 976 of the family's 1831-position model. The record is from RNAcentral.
CAAUAGCGUAUAUUAAAGUUGUUGCAGUUAAAAAGCUCGUAGUUGGAUUUCUGGUGGGAGCGAUCGGUCUGGCGCUUAGCGCGAGUACUUGCAUCGUCUCCGGCCAUCCUUGGGGAGAGUCUGUCUGGCAUUAGGUUGUCGGGCAGAGGAUCCUCAUCGUUUACUGUGAAAAAAUUAGAGUGUUCAAAGCAGGCUUAUGCCGUUGAAUAUAUUAGCAUGGAAUAAUAAGAUAGGACUUUGGUACUAUUUUGUUGGUUUGCGCACCAAAGUAAUGAUUAAUAGGGACAGUUGGGGGUAUUCGUAUUCCGUUGUCAGAGGUGAAAUUCUUGGAUUUACGGAAGACGUACUACUGCGAAAGCAUUUACCAAGGAUGUUUUCAUUAA